This 292-nucleotide ribosomal RNA is filed under the name uncultured bacterium. RNAcentral describes it as "partial 16S ribosomal RNA". It matches the Rfam family "Bacterial small subunit ribosomal RNA", at positions 505 to 796 of the family's 1533-position model. The record is from RNAcentral.
GUGCCAGCCGCCGCGGUAAGACAGAGGAUGCGAGCGUUAUCCGGAAUUACUGGGCGUAAAGGGCGUCUAGGCGGUUCGGUAAGUCGUUUGUGAAAUCCCUCGGCUCAACCGAGGAUGGUCUUGCGAUACUGCCGGGCUUGGGUGCAGGAGAGGAGGGUGGAACUCACAGAGUAGCGGUGGAAUGCGUAGAUACUGUGAGGUACCCCGAUGGCGAAGGCAACCCUCUGGCCUGCUACCGACGCUGAAGCGCGAAAGCGUGGGGAGCAAAGGGGAUUAGAAACCCUCGUAGUCC